Molecule: ribosomal RNA, 767 nt
Filed under: uncultured bacterium
Lineage: Bacteria
Description: bacterial SSU rRNA
Rfam family: Bacterial small subunit ribosomal RNA
Source: RNAcentral
UCGAACGGCAGCACAGGGAGCUUGCUCCCGGGUGGCGAGUGGCGCACGGGUGAGUAAUACAUCGGAACGUGUCCUGUUGUGGGGGAUAACUGCUCGAAAGGGUGGCUAAUACCGCAUGAGACCUGAGGGUGAAAGCGGGGGAUCGCAAGACCUCGCGCAAUUGGAGCGGCCGAUGCCCGAUUAGCUAGUUGGUGAGGUAAAGGCUCACCAAGGCGACGAUCGGUAGCUGGUCUGAGAGGACGACCAGCCACACUGGGACUGAGACACGGCCCAGACUCCUACGGGAGGCAGCAGUGGGGAAUUUUGGACAAUGGGGGCAACCCUGAUCCAGCCAUGCCGCGUGCAGGAUGAAGGCCUUCGGGUUGUAAACUGCUUUUGUCAGGGACGAAAAGGACCGUGUUAAUACCAUGGUCUGCUGACGGUACCUGAAGAAUAAGCACCGGCUAACUACGUGCCAGCAGCCGCGGUAAUACGUAGGGUGCAAGCGUUAAUCGGAAUUACUGGGCGUAAAGCGUGCGCAGGCGGUUCUGUAAGACAGAUGUGAAAUCCCCGGGCUUAACCUGGGAAUUGCAUUUGUGACUGCAGGACUAGAGUUCAUCAGAGGGGGGUGGAAUUCCAAGUGUAGCAGUGAAAUGCGUAGAUAUUUGGAAGAACACCAAUGGCGAAGGCAGCCCCCUGGGAUGCGACUGACGCUCAUGCACGAAAGCGUGAGGAGCAAACAGGAUUAGAUACCCUGGUAGUCCACGCCCUAAACGAUGUCUACUGGU